GGCACUGUGGCUUAGUGUUUAGAAUGUUUGCCUCGAACCUCCAGGGUCGGGGGCUUGAAUCCCGCCUCUGCCC
Ameiurus melas (black bullhead) is the source of this 73-nucleotide non-coding RNA. The record is from the annotation of a GenBank genome assembly. Lineage: Eukaryota; Metazoa; Chordata; Actinopteri; Siluriformes; Ictaluridae.